RNAcentral lists this ribosomal RNA (399 nucleotides) under Triticum aestivum (bread wheat). Its description in RNAcentral is "partial small subunit ribosomal RNA". The record is from RNAcentral. Lineage: Eukaryota; Viridiplantae; Streptophyta; Magnoliopsida; Poales; Poaceae.
AUGGCCGACCGCCUCGCCCGCCGUGGCCUGCAACACCCCGCACGAUGCCCCCUCUGCGACCAGGCCCCCGAGACCAUGCACCACCUCACCCUUGCCUGCCCCUUCGCCGGGCAGAUCUGGCACGAGGUGCUGCACUGGCUCAGACUCUCCUGCGCCCCGCCCGACAGCGAGACUUCCCUCAACGACUGGUGGCGCACGGCGCGACAGGACACCCCAAAGCCCAUGCGCAAGGGCCUCGCCUCCACGACCCUCCUCGUCCCAUGGAUGAAACUGCGUCUUCAACAGUGGCCGGCCCUCGACGACCGACCUGCUCACAAAGAUCAAAGACCCGCCCUCUGGGCCAGAGCCGACGCCCUAGGGCUUCGUGCCAUUUUACCGCAAACAUGGGACGUGCACUGA